Eleginops maclovinus (Patagonian blennie) is the source of this 593-nucleotide long non-coding RNA. RefSeq lists it as uncharacterized. NCBI's taxonomy places the organism in Eukaryota, Metazoa, Chordata, Actinopteri, Perciformes, Eleginopidae. The transcript is spliced from 4 exons. The record is from RefSeq and is a predicted model, not a curated record.
CACAGAGCGUGUAGAGUAUUCAACUUUUCUGUAUGACCUAACAGGUUCUAACUCAAAGUCUCUUUCAAAAAACGGCAUGAAGAACUUUAAUACCCAAUAUCUCAUGGUGCUGAUGAUGAUUGAGAUGGUCUACUCAGCACCACAUUCAAAAAAUUUGAUGAAACAAAUCCGAGAAGAGACCGUAAACCUACUGGAAUCCAAGAAUAUGAUUUUGCACAUGUUCGUGCCAAUGACUACAAUAACAGAUUGUCCGCGAAAUGUCUUCUGCUUGGCUGAGAAGGCUCUAAAAAUGCCCAAUAAUACAGAGUUUCUCAACUUUACAGAUAAACUCGCUCGUCAAUUGUCUCAAUAUAACCAGAACCAUAGCUUUCCGUGUACCCUGAACACGAAUGAAAAAAUUAAACUGGUAAAGCUUCUGAAGGAUCUUAAGGACUGUGCAGACAAAAUGUGUAACUUGCAGUGAUCAUGUGUGUGAUUUUAUUAACAUGUAAUAUUUAACUUAUUUCUAUUUAUUGUGUGACUUGAGAUAUUUAUUUUCCUACAUAUUUUAUUUUUGUUUUGUAUUUAUAUAAAUAAAUUAUAAUGGCACAUGG